RNAcentral lists this ribosomal RNA (468 nucleotides) under uncultured bacterium. Its description in RNAcentral is "partial 16S ribosomal RNA". It matches the Rfam family "Bacterial small subunit ribosomal RNA", at positions 28 to 507 of the family's 1533-position model. The record is from RNAcentral.
GACGAACGCUGGCGGCGUGCUUAACACAUGCAAGUCGAACGGAAAGGCCCUGCUUUUGUGGGGUGCUCGUGUGGCGAACGGGUGAGUAACACGUGAGUAACCUGCCCUUGACUUUGGGAUAACUUCAGGAAACUGGGGCUCAUACCGGAUAGGAGCUCCUGCUGCAUGGUGGGGGUUGGAAAGUUUCGGCGGUUGGGGAUGGACUCGCGGCUUAUCAGCUUGUUGGUGGGGUAGUGGCUUACCAAGGCUUUGACGGGUAGCCGGCCUGAGAGGGUGACCGGCCACAUUGGGACUGCGAUACGGCCCAGACUCCUACGGGAGGCAGCAGUGGGGAAUAUUGCACAAUGGGCGGAAGCCUGAUGCAGCAACGCCGCGUGCGGGAUGACGGCCUUCGGGUUGUAAACCGCUGUCGCCUGUGACGAAGCGUGAGUGACGGUAAUGGGUAAAGAAGCACCGGCUAACUACGUG